RNAcentral lists this ribosomal RNA (253 nucleotides) under uncultured bacterium. Its description in RNAcentral is "partial 16S ribosomal RNA". It matches the Rfam family "Bacterial small subunit ribosomal RNA", at positions 524 to 776 of the family's 1533-position model. The record is from RNAcentral.
UACGGGGGGGGCAAGCGUUGUUCGGAAUUACUGGGCGUAAAGGGCGCGUAGGCGGCCUUCUAAGUCGAACGUGAAAUCCCCGGGCUCAACCCGGGAACUGCGUCCGAGACUGGAAGGCUCGAAUCCGGGAGAGGGAUGUGGAAUUCCAGGUGUAGCGGUGAAAUGCGUAGAUAUCUGGAGGAACAUCGGUGGCGAAGGCGGCAUCCUGGACCGGUAUUGACGCUGAGGCGCGAAAGCCAGGGGAGCAAACGGG